CUUGUGUUGUGUGCUACAUCUGCCACCAACAACAGCAGGAGGAAGCUGAACUGGGAAAAACUGGUGUCCCUGCAUUCCAGACAGGGAUUUGGGUAUUCACGAGAAGAAAGGUAGUCUGACAAGAGAGUGAUUGAAUCAGCCCCCUUGAUACCUGGGAGUGACAGAAGGCUUUGGAAGUUUGGAACAUUGUUUACUGCAAUGACUGCUGUGACCUAUGCAGCUAAAUGAGUCUGUAGCACCAGAACACUUGAGGGCUAACACACUCACCUGAGAGUUGUAUUUCUUCUUAGCUCUAAAGAACAAACUGAAAAAGAAUUUA
This is a long non-coding RNA of Cyanistes caeruleus (blue tit), 319 nucleotides long. RefSeq lists it as uncharacterized. NCBI's taxonomy places the organism in Eukaryota, Metazoa, Chordata, Aves, Passeriformes, Paridae. The record is from RefSeq and is a predicted model, not a curated record.